GGCCUAUCACAUGCAAGUCGAGCGGAAACGACACUAACAAUCCUUCGGGUGCGUUAAUGGGCGUCGAGCGGCGGACGGGUGAGUAAUGCCUAGGAAAUUGCCUUGAUGUGGGGGAUAACCAUUGGAAACGAUGGCUAAUACCGCAUAAUGCCUACGGGCCAAAGAGGGGGACCUUCGGGCCUCUCGCGUCAAGAUAUGCCUAGGUGGGAUUAGCUAGUUGGUGAGGUAAUGGCUCACCAAGGCGACGAUCCCUAGCUGGUCUGAGAGGAUGAUCAGCCACACUGGAACUGAGACACGGUCCAGACUCCUACGGGAGGCAGCAGUGGGGAAUAUUGCACAAUGGGCGAAAGCCUGAUGCAGCCAUGCCGCGUGUAUGAAGAAGGCCUUCGGGUUGUAAAGUACUUUCAGUUGUGAGGAAGGGGGUAACGUUAAUAGCUCUAUCUCUUGACGUUAGCAACAGAAGAAGCACCGGCUAACUCCGUGCCAGCAGCCGCGGUAAUACGGAGGGUGCGAGCGUUAAUCGGAAUUACUGGGCGUUAAGCGCAUGCAGGUGGUUCAUUAACUCAGAUGUGAAAGCCCGGGGCUCAACCUCGAACUGCAUUUGAAACUGGUGAACUAGAGUACUGUAGAGGGGGGUAGAAUUUCACGUGUA
Molecule: ribosomal RNA, 652 nt
Filed under: Vibrio sp. CCH-01
Lineage: Bacteria; Pseudomonadati; Pseudomonadota; Gammaproteobacteria; Vibrionales; Vibrionaceae
Description: bacterial SSU rRNA
Rfam family: Bacterial small subunit ribosomal RNA
Source: RNAcentral